AAAGCUUACAUGGUACAGAUUAAAGAAAAGGUUAACGUCGUGUCUUAUAGGGAAGUCAAGGAAUUGGCCUUUGAUAGACUGGAAUGGAAAAUGCUACACCGACAAGAGCGUGGCUCUUAAAUUGAUGAUGAUGAAGACUAACACGAAGACGCCGCUCAUGAAGGCUUUGUGCCUUUAAAUAGAUAUGUAUAUCGCAAUUGGGGUUUUACAUCCAUCGCAAGAUGAACUAAGCACCCUUGCCACCGAGGUUUCUGUUAGACCAAAGUUAUAGGCGGUGAGCCGUAUCACCGUCUGUAAUGGUCGAGCCAACUGUCUUAGUGAAAACUACACUUAAGAUAAAUAAGAAUCUCAUUGGUGCAAGUCCAGUACCGGGGUUCGACCGCAGCUCCCCGAUUGUGAUUCAAGCGGGUAUACCACAGGACAACAGUGACUAUUAAAUAUACAGGGUGUUAGAGACAUCGUAACGAAAACUUUGAGGGUUGAUUCAGACCAUGAUUCUCAGUUGAUAUCAAGUGGAAUUUUCCAUCGCAAAAGUAUGGAUUUGAAAAUAAUUAAAAAAAAAAACAAAAAAAAAA
Long non-coding RNA from Pectinophora gossypiella (pink bollworm), 575 nucleotides. RefSeq lists it as uncharacterized. The record is from RefSeq and is a predicted model, not a curated record. NCBI's taxonomy places the organism in Eukaryota, Metazoa, Arthropoda, Insecta, Lepidoptera, Gelechiidae. The transcript has 2 exons.